Molecule: ribosomal RNA, 653 nt
Filed under: uncultured Bacteroides sp.
Lineage: Bacteria; Pseudomonadati; Bacteroidota; Bacteroidia; Bacteroidales; Bacteroidaceae
Description: bacterial SSU rRNA
Rfam family: Bacterial small subunit ribosomal RNA
Source: RNAcentral
UGGUCUUAGCUUGCUAAGGCUGAUGGCGACCGGCGCACGGGUGAGUAACACGUAUCCAACUUGCCGUCUACUCUUGGCCAGCCUUCUGAAAGGAAGAUUACUCCAGGAUGGCAUCAUGAGUUCACAUGUCCGCAUGAUUAAAGGUAUUUUCCGGUAGACGAUGGGGAUGCGUUCCAUUAGAUAGUAGGCGGGGUAACGGCCCACCUAGUCAACGAUGGAUAGGGGUUCUGAGAGGAAGGUCCCCCACAUUGGAACUGAGACACGGUCCAAACUCCUACGGGAGGCAGCAGUGAGGAAUAUUGGUCAAUGGGCGAUGGCCUGAACCAGCCAAGUAGCGUGAAGGAUGACUGCCCUAUGGGUUGUAAACUUCUUUUAUAAAGGAAUAAAGUCGGGUAUGCAUACCCGUUUGCAUGUACUUUAUGAAUAAGGAUCGGCUAACUCCGUGCCAGCAGCCGCGGUAAUACGGAGGAUCCGAGCGUUAUCCGGAUUUAUUGGGUUUAAAGGGAGCGUGGAUGGAUGUUUAAGUCAGUUGUGAAAGUUUGCGGCUCAACCGUAAAAUUGCAGUUGAUACUGGAUGUCUUGAGUGCAGUUGAGGCAGGCGGAAUUCGUGGUGUAGCGGUGAAAUGCUUAGAUAUCACGAAGAACUCCGAUUG